GUGUUGAUGUUCUAACGUCGACCCCUUAUCGGGGUUGCGGACAGUGCCUGGUGGGUAGUUUGACUGGGGCGGUCUCCUCCCAAAGAGUAACGGAGGAGCACGAAGGUGGGCUAAUCACGGUUGGACAUCGUGAGGUUAGUGCAAUGGCAUAAGCCCGCUUGACUGCGAGAAUGACAAUUCGAGCAGGUGCGAAAGCAGGUCAUAGUGAUCCGGUGG
This 216-nucleotide ribosomal RNA is filed under the name Vibrio parahaemolyticus. RNAcentral describes it as "partial 23S ribosomal RNA". It matches the Rfam family "Bacterial large subunit ribosomal RNA", at positions 2211 to 2426 of the family's 2925-position model. The record is from RNAcentral. Lineage: Bacteria; Pseudomonadati; Pseudomonadota; Gammaproteobacteria; Vibrionales; Vibrionaceae.